Cinara cedri is the source of this 202-nucleotide non-coding RNA. The record is from the annotation of a GenBank genome assembly. NCBI's taxonomy places the organism in Eukaryota, Metazoa, Arthropoda, Insecta, Hemiptera, Aphididae.
CUUUGCUCCAUGCUACAGUGCUUUUGAUUUUCAAAUGGCAAUUUAUAUUAAAAAUUCCAUAGAUGGAUGAGGAGUAUUAGUUAAAAUAUAUAUUGGUGUUAACAUUUUUGUUUUCUAUCAAUCAAUUGACAAAAUAUUCCAUUUUUAGGUUUGUGUUUGAGGAAAGAAAUGGUACAUUAUUAAUCAUCACACAAAUGAUGCU